GGCGACGUAGCUCAGUUGGUGAGAGUGCUCGACUCAUAAUCGAGAGGUCGUGGGUUCGAGUCCCACCGUCGCUA
RNAcentral lists this transfer RNA (74 nucleotides) under Acidimicrobiia bacterium. RNAcentral describes it as "tRNA-Met". It matches the Rfam family "tRNA". From Rfam's summary of the family: Transfer RNA (tRNA) molecules are approximately 80 nucleotides in length. Their secondary structure includes four short double-helical elements and three loops (D, anti-codon, and T loops). Further hydrogen bonds mediate the characteristic L-shaped molecular structure. tRNAs have two regions of fundamental functional importance: the anti-codon, which is responsible for specific mRNA codon recognition, and the 3' end, to which the tRNAs corresponding amino acid is attached (by aminoacyl-tRNA synthetases). tRNAs cope with the degeneracy of the genetic code in two manners: having more than one tRNA (with a specific anti-codon) for a particular amino acid; and 'wobble' base-pairing, i.e. permitting non-standard base-pairing at the 3rd anti-codon position. Lineage: Bacteria; Bacillati; Actinomycetota; Acidimicrobiia. The record is from RNAcentral.